Molecule: long non-coding RNA, 562 nt
Organism: Choloepus didactylus (southern two-toed sloth)
Lineage: Eukaryota; Metazoa; Chordata; Mammalia; Pilosa; Megalonychidae
Exons: 3
Source: RefSeq, a predicted model, not a curated record
GUCUGGCGCGCGCCCCGCCCCCCCUUCCUGACUGCUGGGGGCGGGGGCACCGCCGCGCAAGGCCUCCCUGAGCGCGUUGGACCGUGGCCGGGCGCUGAGGCUCUGGAGGGUAGUGCCCGUGAAGUUCUCCCUGAGACCUGCCGGGCGUCACCCGCUUCUCUCUGGACGUUGACUUGGAGAGGCCACUAUCCUGGUGCCAGCUUUGGCGGUGCCAACGCCAAGAACCCGGACAUCCUGCUGGCACCUAAUCAAAUGGUGAUUUAUGAAUGGAUGAGAAGUAACCACCGUGCCCCCAGAAUGGUUCAGCUCAAGUAAUUACAAGUAAUUAUUGAGUGCCUCCGACCGUUGGUGUCCGGAAAGCGACGUGCCAGUGACCAGUGGUGGUAAGACUAGACGUAGAACCCAGGACACAGCAAGGAUAUAUGACUGGCUAUGGCCCAAAGAAGCAGCACUGAAUUGAAUUUUGGGCAACAGUAAUACAAUACCUGCUUCCCAGUACACCUUAGAAAGAAACUUAAAUCAACCAGAGUGUUCCUGUACCAGACAAGUCCUAACACCCAGA